GACGAACGCUGGCGGCGUGCCUAAUACAUGCAAGUUGAGCGCUGAAGGUUGGUACUUGUACCAACUGGAUGAGCAGCGAACGGGUGAGUAACGCGUGGGGAAUCUGCCUUUGAGCGGGGGACAACAUUUGGAAACGAAUGCUAAUACCGCAUAAAAACUUUAAACACAAGUUUUAAGUUUGAAAGAUGCAAUUGCAUCACUCAAAGAUGAUCCCGCGUUGUAUUAGCUAGUUGGUGAGGUAAAGGCUCACCAAGGCGAUGAUACAUAGCCGACCUGAGAGGGUGGUCGGCCACAUUGGGACUGGGACACGGCCCAAACUCCUACGGGAGGCAGCCGUAGGGGAUCUUCGGCAAUGGACGAAAGUCUGACCGAGCAACGCCGCGUGAGUGAAGAAGGUUUUCGGAUCGUAAAACUCUGUUGGUAGAGAAGAACGUUGGUGAGAGUGGAAAGCUCAUCAAGUGACGGUAACUACCCAGAAAGGGACGGCUAACUACGUG
This 497-nucleotide ribosomal RNA is filed under the name uncultured bacterium. RNAcentral describes it as "partial 16S ribosomal RNA". It matches the Rfam family "Bacterial small subunit ribosomal RNA", at positions 28 to 507 of the family's 1533-position model. The record is from RNAcentral.